CAAGCGUAUUGCUAGCCAUAUUGUCAGGGUCCAUGCAUCUGCUGAAGCAUCUAGGGAUGACACGAAAACUUCUAAGGAGUAUAAUUGGCUGAAAAGAUAUAUACAAUAUUGUAAGACCAAUUGCCAUCCGCGACUAUCAGAUUCUGCAGCCUCAAUGUUACAAGAAAGUUAUGUCAAAAUUAGGCAGGAUAUGAGGCGGCAAUCAAAUGAAACUGGAGAGGCAGCAGCAAUACCAAUUACUGUGCGGCAACUAGAGGCCAUAGUGAGGUUGAGUGAAGCUCUGGCAAGAAUGAGACUCUCCCAAGUUGCAAAUGAAGAUCACGUUUCAGAAGCAAUUAGGCUCUUCAACACUUCUACAAUGGAUGCAGCACGAUCUGGAAUCAAUCAACACAUAAACCUUACUCCUGAGAUGGCAAAUGAGAUAAAGCAAGCCGAAACCCAAAUUAAGAGAAGAAUGGGUAUUGGUAGCCAUAUAUCAGAGAGACGACUAGUUGAUGAACUGACCAGGAUGGGCAUGAAUGAAUCAAUU
Molecule: unclassified non-coding RNA, 529 nt
Filed under: Hevea brasiliensis (rubber tree)
Lineage: Eukaryota; Viridiplantae; Streptophyta; Magnoliopsida; Malpighiales; Euphorbiaceae
Source: RNAcentral